CUUCCGACAACCUCAUUGAAAAAAAGAAAAGAAAAAAAGAAGAGAAAACAAACUGGUGACUAGGUAUGUCGUGAUGUAAACCUACAAAUAAGUCAAUAUAAAUUUCAAUUCAACAAUUAAGUCCGUAUCUUGAGUGUUUAGCUGGGGAAUUAUAGCAUUGGAAACAGCAAUUACAUCUAAACAACUAUUUGAAUGAAUUAAUUUGAUCUUUGAAGAAAUGCUAACCGGACUUGCUCAAGAGAGAGAUUAUAUUACAAGGACAUGAUGUCACCUCAUAAUUCUUACGACGGAUUCAUGAGGUGAACAAGUUUAUGUAGAGAUUAUCUUUUGAACAAAUCCUGUCAGCAAUUUUGAACUCUGUUGUAAAAUGCUUGUAUCCAUCAUUUUGAUUGCAUGGGCGAGCUGCCUCUUCAUCUUUUCCAAAGCCCAGAUCCAUUCAUCAUUUUGAUUGCGUUUUCCAAUUUGCCAUGAGAGGGAGAGGCAAAUAUGGAAUUCUCAGCUUUCCAAUUGUCAUAUUUGGUGGGCUGAAAAUGAUCUAUUGACCCGGCCAUACGUCUCAGAGACAAGCACAUAACAUAUUUAACAUGUGGAUGGUUGAUGGUGGGUGGUGAAGCUUCUUCUCUUUGGGUUUUAGAGAGCUUUGGAAAAGAGAAUGUAGGAUCCAGUUACUGAUAGGUUUUGGACGUCCAAGAUUGAGAUGCUCCAAAAAUAAUAUGCAUUUCAACUAAAGAGAGAAAUGUUUUCUUGCGGAAAUGUACGUUGAGAUUGAAUCUGAACACUUG
RNAcentral lists this long non-coding RNA (782 nucleotides) under Prunus dulcis (almond). Its description in RNAcentral is "sRNA ncRNA". The record is from RNAcentral. Lineage: Eukaryota; Viridiplantae; Streptophyta; Magnoliopsida; Rosales; Rosaceae.